AAAAGGCGGCGUAAGCUGUCGCUAAAGGAUGGACCCGCGGUGCAUUAGCUAGUUGGUAAGGUAACGGCUUACCAAGGCGACGAUGCAUAGCCGAGUUGAGAGACUGAUCGACCACAUUGGGACUGAGACACGGCCCAAACUCCUACGGGAGGCAGCAGUAGGGAAUCUUCCACAAUGGGCGAAAGCCUGAUGGAGCAACGCCGCGUGAGUGAAGAAGGUUUUCGGAUCGUAAAGCUCUGUUGUUGGUGAAGAAGGAUAGAGGUAGUAACUGGCCCCUAUUUGACGGUAAUCAACCAGAAAGUCACGGCUAACUACGUGCCAGCAGCCGCGGUAAUACGUAGGUGGCAAGCGUUGUCCGGAUUUAUUGGGCGUAAAGCGAGCGCAGGCGGAAAGAUAAGUCUGAUGUGAAAGCCCCCGGCUUAACCGAGGAAUUGCAUCGGAAACUGUGUUUCUUGAGUGCAGAAGAGGAGAGUGGAACUCCAUGUGUAGCGGUGGAAUGCGUAGAUAUAUGGAAGAACACCAGUGGCGAAGGCGGCUCUCUGGUCUGUAACUGACGCUGAGGCUCGAAAGCAUGGGUAGCGAACAGGAUUAGAUACCCUGGUAGUCCAUGCCGUAAACGAUGAGUGCUAAGUGUUGGGAGGUUUCCGCCUCUCA
RNAcentral lists this ribosomal RNA (654 nucleotides) under uncultured bacterium. Its description in RNAcentral is "bacterial SSU rRNA". It matches the Rfam family "Bacterial small subunit ribosomal RNA", at positions 202 to 842 of the family's 1533-position model. The record is from RNAcentral.